This 790-nucleotide ribosomal RNA is filed under the name uncultured bacterium. RNAcentral describes it as "bacterial SSU rRNA". It matches the Rfam family "Bacterial small subunit ribosomal RNA", at positions 67 to 904 of the family's 1533-position model. The record is from RNAcentral.
CGGGAUCUUCGGAUCUAGCGGCGGACGGGUGAGUAACGCGUGGGAACGUACCCUCUUCUGCGGGAUAGCCACUGGAAACGGUGAGUAAUACCGCAUACGCCCUUCGGGGGAAAGAUUUAUCGGAGGAGGAUCGGCCCGCGUUGGAUUAGGUAGUUGGUGGGGUAAUGGCCUACCAAGCCUACGAUCCAUAGCUGGUUUUAGAGGAUGAUCAGCCACACUGGGACUGAGACACGGCCCAGACUCCUACGGGAGGCAGCAGUGGGGAAUCUUAGACAAUGGGCGCAAGCCUGAUCUAGCCAUGCCGCGUGAGUGACGAAGGCCUUAGGGUCGUAAAGCUCUUUCGCCAGAGAUGAUAAUGACAGUAUCUGGUAAAGAAACCCCGGCUAACUCCGUGCCAGCAGCCGCGGUAAUACGGAGGGGGUUAGCGUUGUUCGGAAUUACUGGGCGUAAAGCGCACGUAGGCGGAUUGGAAAGUAUGGGGUGAAAUCCCAGGGCUCAACCCUGGAACUGCCUCAUAAACUCCCAGUCUGGAGUUCGAGAGAGGUGAGUGGAAUUCCGAGUGUAGAGGUGAAAUUCGUAGAUAUUCGGAGGAACACCAGUGGCGAAGGCGGCUCACUGGCUCGAUACUGACGCUGAGGUGCGAAAGUGUGGGGAGCAAACAGGAUUAGAUACCCUGGUAGUCCACACCGUAAACGAUGAAUGCCAGUCGUCGGCAAGCAUGCUUGUCGGUGACACACCUAACGGAUUAAGCAUUCCGCCUGGGGAGUACGGUCGCAAGAUUAAAACUCAA